This 1387-nucleotide long non-coding RNA is filed under the name Chrysemys picta bellii (western painted turtle). RNAcentral describes it as "lncRNA (ENSCPBG00000016965.1)". The record is from RNAcentral. Lineage: Eukaryota; Metazoa; Chordata; Testudines; Emydidae.
UCUGAGAGAGGCACAAUCUGCCAAAAAAAAAAAAGAGGAACCAGCGCUUGGGCCGAGCUACAAGAUAUUCAUAUAGCCAAGGAAAACUGCAAGAACAAGCUCGUAACCUUGCAGUUCCAGACUAGCAUCAACUUAUUGCAGCACUAACAAGAUCUGUUCUGUGGCCAUUCGUAAUAAUUGUUCUGGGCUCUAGAUAGAAAAAACUCACCCUAGAGGUACAAGCAGUUCCCAUUUUUCAAUUUCGUUUCUCUUAUCAUAAAAACUGGCACUGGCUUGACUUACAGUGGGACAUCAGUCUUUUCUUUUAAAAUGUAUUUAUUUCUGAACUGAAAACCUACAAGAAAGACUGCACUGUCUUUGAGAUGGCAGAAUGCUCUGGGCUUCAGAUGGGAUACAGCAAAGCUGAUCUAUGCCUGCUACUGCAACAGGUCUACACGUGAUUUUUCAGCAAGCUAAAUUGCUAAAUUUAAGGAAAAGAAUCCCAGGAGAGUCGGAAGCAUACACAAGACCUAAUAAUCGCUAUAAUGAGUGUCUUCUUGAUAAUCUCCCUCCUACUCAUUCCGGGCUGCAGUUUCCUUUCUUACAAACUGAUGACAAAGGACAACACGACUUUGAAGAAAGAAGUGAAAUCUAUCACCAUCCAGUCUCACUUGCAUCAUGUUGAAACGAGGAUUGUCCUAUCUCCUUCCCAGCCUAUGCAAUUAGCUGCCCCCCAACAGAGGAGCUCCCAAGGAACCUCCCUCAUACAAACAUCACCGAUUUAUAAACAGCCUGGCGAUGUGCCACCGCUACGACCAGCCUCCAAUGUAUCUGCUGUCAGUUUUGCAUACACUGACCCUAGCACUGUUUUCUCAGCACCCAUACAAACAUCACCGAUUUAUAAACAGCCUGGCGAUGUGCCACCGCUACGACCAGCCUCCAAUGUAUCUGCUGUCAGUUUUGCAUACACUGACCCUAGCACUGUUUUCUCAGCACCCAGGAACCGUACUCCGGAAAGUUUUCUUUCUAACCUCUCAAAGUCAGGAAGCCUUUUUUCUAUGGAACAACAUGAUCUCUUUUAUGGGUCUUCCAGGAGUUCUUCCAGAGGGUCCAUGGACAACCCUGGAUACAAAUAUGAAGAUGGAGAAGGAAGCGGUGAUUCUGGGAGCAGCAUUUGUCCCAUUCAUGUGACAGACGAUCUACCUUUCACCAGACAUUAAUUAUAUUUAGGGUGACCAGAUCACUGACAGGAAAUAUCGAGACCGGGGGGGAGCAAAAAAAAACAAAAAACAAACAAACAAAAAAAGUAAAAAAAAAAAAAAAAAAAAAAAGCCGUUUUGCAGGUGCCGGGGGAAUUAGCAGGCCGCGGCCCCGCCCCCCCUGAGGGCCCCGGGCACAUGCGACACGU